CCCCCAGCCACGGUCGCUCGGGCUUCCCGCUACCCCGCGCCUGCCCUCUCUCCUGGUGCCAAGGACCCGGUCCGCGCGCGCCCCGGGUCUCGGGCUCCUCUUUCCGAGUUCCUCUCGAGUCCGUGCCAGGCUUCCGAGGCAGGCGCGCUCCUACUCGCCACCGCUGGGAAGCUGCGAACAUCCACACAAGAUUGUCCAUCACUUUUGGUCACUUCUCUCUGCACAGUCAUCAACACAGGUGCCCGUCAGAAUAUCGAUGAAAGUCCUGGCACUAACCUAGAUGGAACCCAGGGCCUCACCAUGCUAGUCAAGUGCUCCAC
Molecule: long non-coding RNA, 320 nt
Organism: Marmota flaviventris (yellow-bellied marmot)
Lineage: Eukaryota; Metazoa; Chordata; Mammalia; Rodentia; Sciuridae
Source: RefSeq, a predicted model, not a curated record